AUUGAACGCUGGCGGCAUGCCUUACACAUGCAAGUCGAACGGCAGCACGGGAGCAAAUCCUGGUGGCGAGUGGCGAACGGGUGAGUAAUAUAUCGGAACGUGCCCGGUCGUGGGGAUAACGUAGCGAAAGCUACGCUAAUACCGCAUACGAUCUACGGAUGAAAGCGGGGGAUCGCAAGACCUCGCGCGAAUUGGAGCGGCCGAUAUCAGAUUAGGUAGUUGGUGAGGUAAAGGCUCACCAAGCCGACGAUCUGUAGCUGGUCUGAGAGGACGACCAGCCACACUGGGACUGAGACACGGCCCAGACUCCUACGGGAGGCAGCAGUGGGGAAUUUUGGACAAUGGGCGGCAAAGCCUGAUCCAGCAAAUGCCGCGUGCAGGAUGAAGGCCUCGG
RNAcentral lists this ribosomal RNA (394 nucleotides) under uncultured bacterium. Its description in RNAcentral is "bacterial SSU rRNA". It matches the Rfam family "Bacterial small subunit ribosomal RNA", at positions 29 to 420 of the family's 1533-position model. The record is from RNAcentral.